UGGGGAAUAUUGGACAAUGGGCGAAAGCCUGAUCCAGCCAUGCCGCGUGUGUGAAGAAGGUCUUCGGAUUGUAAAGCACUUUAAGUUGGGAGGAAGGGCAGUUACCUAAUACGUGAUUGUUUUGACGUUACCGACAGAAUAAGCACCGGCUAACUCUGUGCCAGCAGCCGCGGUAAUACAGAGGGUGCAAGCGUUAAUCGGAAUUACUGGGCGUAAAGCGCGCGUAGGUGGUUAGUUAAGUUGGAUGUGAAAUCCCCGGGCUCAACCUGGGAACUGCAUUCAAAACUGACUGACUAGAGUAUGGUAGAGGGUGGUGGAAUUUCCUGCGUAGCGGUGAAAUGCGUAGAUAUAGGAAGGAACACCAGUGGCGAAGGCGACCACCUGGACUGAUACUGACACUGAGGUGCGAAAGCGUGGGGAGCAAACAGGAUUAGAUACCCUUGUAGUCCCUGAGCGGGCUGGCAAGGCGCAU
Molecule: ribosomal RNA, 472 nt
Filed under: uncultured bacterium
Lineage: Bacteria
Description: bacterial SSU rRNA
Rfam family: Bacterial small subunit ribosomal RNA
Source: RNAcentral